UUAGUGUUACAGUCAAUAGCCAUCAUAACUCAUAAGCACAAGGUUGCACAGGAGUAUUAAAGCUGAAGGUUGUUGAUUCAGCAAUGCAAAGUAUUUGAGGCAAUAGACUUCACAGGCAACAAAGUGCUUAUUACGGACAAACUCCAUUGAAGGUAUCAAUAUACAUCUUUUGAUGAAUAUUAGUGUUACAGUCAAUAGCCAUCAUAACUCAUAAGCACAAGGUUGCACAGGAGUAUUGAUGUUGAAGGUUGUUGAUUCAGCAAUGCAAAGUAUUUAAGGCAAUAGAUUUCACAGGCAACAAAGUGCUUAUUACGAAGGUUCACUUUGACAAACUCCAUUGAAGGUAUCAAUAUUGAGCUGGCACAUAAUCAAUACCCUGAUUUCAACCACGCCCACUAAAGCAAGAACCUAUUUUUGUCCGCCUUGGGAUUUCAUAACUAACUUGCUCGCCAUAAGUUCACCGCAUCCCCAAAAAGAUCUAUAAGAAAUAAGACAGAGCUAAUUCACAUUUCAUUUGAACCAUCGAGGAAUGAGGAUAAUCUCCUUACACUGUAUUUCAAACUGAAUCACCCAGAUG
Molecule: long non-coding RNA, 577 nt
Filed under: Triticum aestivum (bread wheat)
Lineage: Eukaryota; Viridiplantae; Streptophyta; Magnoliopsida; Poales; Poaceae
Description: long non-coding RNA (TAES_LNC010337)
Source: RNAcentral